CCUACGGGAGGCAGCAGUGAGGAAUAUUGGUCAAUGGACGAGAGUCUGAACCAGCCAAGUAGCGUGAAGGAUGACUGCCCUAUGGGUUGUAAACUUCUUUUAUAAAGGAAUAAAACGAGGCACGUGUGCCUUUUUGCAUGUACUUUAUGAAUAAGGAUCGGCUAACUACGUGCCAGCAGCCGCGGUAAUACGGAGGAUCCGAGCGAUAUCCGGAUUUAUUGGGUUUAAAGGGAUUGUAGAUGGGUUGUUAAGUCAGUUGUGAAAGUUUGCGGCUCAACCGUAAAAUUGCUAUUGAUACUGGCAGUCUAGAGUACAGUAGAGGUAGGCGGAAUUCGUGGUGUAGCGGUGAAAUGCUUAGAUAUAACGAAGAACCCCGAUUGCGAAGGCAGCUUACUAAACUGUGACUGACAUUGAUGCUCGAAAGUGUGGGUAUCAAACAGGAUUAGAUACCCGAGUAGUC
RNAcentral lists this ribosomal RNA (460 nucleotides) under uncultured bacterium. Its description in RNAcentral is "partial 16S ribosomal RNA". It matches the Rfam family "Bacterial small subunit ribosomal RNA", at positions 338 to 795 of the family's 1533-position model. The record is from RNAcentral.